This is a long non-coding RNA of Episyrphus balteatus (marmalade hoverfly), 240 nucleotides long. RefSeq lists it as uncharacterized. The transcript is spliced from 3 exons. The record is from RefSeq and is a predicted model, not a curated record. NCBI's taxonomy places the organism in Eukaryota, Metazoa, Arthropoda, Insecta, Diptera, Syrphidae.
AACAUCAUCAUUUAAAACGUGGAUUAAAAUUGUUGCACCACAAAGAUUAAAUAAUUCAACAGAUAAAAAUGAAUAUUAAAAAAAUUUUUCAAAUUAUCAAGGUAUGGGGAUUCGAUGAAAAACUAUCUUAUAGGGAGCGAAUUUUCAUCCCUGGUAAGUAUAGCAAGCAGAAGCAAAAGGUACUUUCGUCAAUGUUCAAUUCAAUGGAGUGUUACAAAUUGUUGUUGUUCACUUUAGAGG